RNAcentral lists this ribosomal RNA (469 nucleotides) under uncultured organism. Its description in RNAcentral is "partial 16S ribosomal RNA". It matches the Rfam family "Bacterial small subunit ribosomal RNA", at positions 335 to 796 of the family's 1533-position model. The record is from RNAcentral.
ACUCCUGCGGGAGGCAGCAGUGGGGAAUUUUGGACAAUGGGCGAAAGCCUGAUCCAGCAAUGCCGCGUGAGUGAAGAAGGCCUUCGGGUUGUAAAGCUCUUUUGUCAGGGAAGAAACGGUGAAAGCUAAUAUCUUUUGCUAAUGACGGUACCUGAAGAAUAAGCACCGGCUAACUACGUGCCAGCAGCCGCGGUAAUACGUAGGGUGCAAGCGUUAAUCGGAAUUACUGGGCGUAAAGCGUGCGCAGGCGGUUUUGUAAGUCUGAUGUGAAAUCCCCGGGCUCAACCUGGGAAUUGCAUUGGAGACUGCAAGGCUAGAAUCUGGCAGAGGGGGGUAGAAUUCCACGUGUAGCAGUGAAAUGCGUAGAUAUGUGGAGGAACACCGAUGGCGAAGGCAGCCCCCUGGGUCAAGAUUGACGCUCAUGCACGAAAGCGUGGGGAGCAAAUAGGAUUAGAUACCCCGGUAGUCC